Molecule: ribosomal RNA, 388 nt
Filed under: uncultured bacterium
Lineage: Bacteria
Description: bacterial SSU rRNA
Rfam family: Bacterial small subunit ribosomal RNA
Source: RNAcentral
GACGAACGCUGGCGGCGUGCUUAACACAUGCAAGUGGAGCGACGAACCAGGCUUCGGCCUGGGGCAGAGCCGCGAACGGGUGGGUAACACGUGGGUAACCUGCCUCGAUGACCGGGACAACCCGGGGAAACCCGGGCUAAUACCGGAUGUGCUGCCUUCACAUCAGUGGAGACAGGAAAGGAAGCUUCGGCCUCCGCAUCGAGAUGGGCCCGCGGCCCAUUAGCUUGUUGGUGGGGUAAUGGCUCACCAAGGCCGCGAUGGGUAGCUGGUCUCGAGAGGACGAUCAGCCACACUGGGACUGAGACACGGCCCAGACUCCUACGGGAGCCAGCAGUGGGAAUCUUGCGCAAUGCGCGGAAGCGUGACGCAGCAACGCCGCGUGGGGGAA